This 212-nucleotide long non-coding RNA is filed under the name Lathyrus oleraceus (garden pea). Its description in RNAcentral is "Pisum sativum (pea) long non-coding RNA (PSAT_LNC026947)". Lineage: Eukaryota; Viridiplantae; Streptophyta; Magnoliopsida; Fabales; Fabaceae. The record is from RNAcentral.
UUCUUUCUCCGCUCAAACACCGAACCCUAUCUCGCUUCUUCCGUCUCUUAUCAACACGGACGGACACAUGCAUCAUUACAGCAGAACUUGAUUUUGAACAUAACAUCACAUCAGGUUAUUCAUCUUCUCCAAUUCCAUUGCCUCACUGUUAACUUCUUCUUUUCAUCUUUAUUCAAACCAUUUGGCUUUUAAUUGAAUAUAUGUCCUUUUCG